Molecule: small RNA, 633 nt
Filed under: Malus domestica (apple)
Lineage: Eukaryota; Viridiplantae; Streptophyta; Magnoliopsida; Rosales; Rosaceae
Description: sRNA MD11G0142200
Source: RNAcentral
AGCCACCCAAUUGGGUGUCUCUUGUUUCUGAUUCCCCGCGGGCUUGUACCUGUGCAACUCGAGAAUCUUGUGUUCGAGCCUGACGACAAGGAUUGAAACUUCGUUGCCUCGCUGGGUUGUGGUGGUGGAUCUGCUCGUAGAAAUCGUACAGCUCCCAGAGGUGGUCCAGCGGCAACGGCGGCGGCAACUGCAGUGACAUCCUCACUAACGAUUAUGCCGUCGUUUUUGAAGUGCUUGGUGGAUCACGAGGAUUGGGAUGGGGGUUCUGACAAAAUAUCAUUAAUAACUAUGCCGCCUCGUAGAGAUCCACGUCCUUCUGUUGAGCCUAGUUUCCCCAAUAUAGCUCAGUGAGGGGAAGCUAUAGCAAAUGCUAUUCAGUCUUCGCUUCGUCCUCCCCAAAGAACACCCCUUGAAAAUGUGUAUAACCUGAAGCUGAAUCAUUUUAUAUGGAAUGAAGGACAUGAAGGAGCGGAGAAAUGGAUUAAUCAUAUUGAGAAGACUUUUCGUGUAAUGCAGAGUCAGGGGAAUCUUCCUCCUGAUAGGUAGGUCGAGACGACUACCUGGUUUUUAGGUCAGGAGCCUGCAUCCUGGUGGAGACAGGAGUCUUAUCAAUUGACCCCAAAGGAAAUUGCG